GCAGUGAAAACAUUUAUUUUUUACAAGUAAUCUUUAUUAUAGGUCAACAUUCAGACAUAGAGACCAUCACCAUGGGAAACUUCCGUGACCCCUCAGCCUAGCCCCAGGUGUGUGCACGGGCUCAGGACAGAGGUCGGACCCCAGCAGCAGGACAAACCAGCACAUGGACGACCAUGGUCCAUGAACCCGCAUUUAGCUUCUAACCACAACGUAUACAGGUUUCAGUGUAAACUGCUUCCCCUGCCCACCCGAAACACCAUCCCAUUUCCAAGGAGAUAAAACCGACCAGAAGUUGCUGAGCACAGGACCCACGCCCAGCCUCUUCCCUGAGGUGAGGUAGGAGAAUAAUGUCCAAGCUGGAGCCCAUCUCCUACCUCACAGGGACCCUCUGGGUGGGUCUGGGGUCAGGAGAGAGACCCCUUGGAAUGCGGCUUUGUCACUGGUUGUAUCUGAUGCCUAGAAAAUGGGUUUUAAU
RNAcentral lists this long non-coding RNA (475 nucleotides) under Bos taurus (domestic cattle). Its description in RNAcentral is "long non-coding RNA NONBTAT005521". Lineage: Eukaryota; Metazoa; Chordata; Mammalia; Artiodactyla; Bovidae. The record is from RNAcentral.